Molecule: long non-coding RNA, 7787 nt
Filed under: Triticum aestivum (bread wheat)
Lineage: Eukaryota; Viridiplantae; Streptophyta; Magnoliopsida; Poales; Poaceae
Description: long non-coding RNA (TAES_LNC023996)
Source: RNAcentral
GGAGUUCGACGAGGAACUUGGUCGUUACUAUGUUUCGUUUCCUGAUGAUCAGUAGUGGAGCCCAGUUGGGACGAUCGGGGAUCUAGCAUUUGGGGUUGUCUUCUUUUAUUUUGGUUCCGUAGUCGGACCUUGAUUGUACUCUGAAUGAUGUAUGUUUAAUUUAUGUAUUGUGUGAAGUGGCGACUGUAAGCCAACUCUUUAUCCCAUUCUUGUUCAUUACAUGGGAUUGUGUGAAGAUGACCCUUCUUGCGACAAAACCACCAUGCGGUUAUGCCUCCAAGUGGUGCCUCGACACGUGGGAGAUAUAGCCGCAUCAUGGGCGUUACAAGUUGGUAAUUAGAGCCAUCCCCGAGUUAGGAGCCCCCUGCUUGAUCGAAUCGCUGGCGUUGUUGAGUCUAGAACAAAAAAUGUUUUGAGUCUUAGGAUUAUAUAUAUCGGAGAGUAGGAUUCUUUUUACUUCUCAGUCCCUUCGUCGCUUUGGUGAGGCCCCCUGACGUAGAAGUUUUGACUCUACUCUCCUCAAAUUUCACUAAAAAAAAUUUAGGAUCAUGUGUGUAUCUUGGAAUCGUUCCGAUAGUCUUGUGACGAGAACAUUGUUCUUGUUGCCUCCUGACAUUUACGGGUUGUGGCAGUGUCCCAGGGAGGUUAGCUGUGAGGUGUUGUCGCCACAAUUUUAUCGUUGCAGUUCUGGAAUACCUGAGUUUCGCCGACAUCAAAAAAUCUCUUUUAUGCAGUUGUUGGUGAGAUCACCUCGACGCCACCCAGUACUGGGGUGGGAGCUCGGGAGUAUUGACAUAACUCGUAUAACAGAUGCUUUUCGAAGGUUGAUGUAAAUGAUUUCCGAAGGUUUCUUGGUUAUGUGUUGAAGCAUGGAUACAGCUGGAUCUAGGUAUUGUUAGUUUGGGUGAGAUAUAUUGCGUCCCCUGUAUCCCCAACACCAGAUUGCAUAACCAGAAAGUUUCGGGAGUUUAUAAGUGGGAAUUCAAGUAGCUCCUAGGAUAUCUUUCCGACAGAUGCAUGAUAUGAGAUUGGGGUUCGACGUCUAGUGGUCCACCUAUCCACGGUUGGUUUUACAGUGGUCUCGUUGUGUCUUAAAGAGUCCUUGGCUAUGCUGACUCGGGGACGCUUCGUAUGUCAUGUGCACUGCCUUGUACAUGAUGGUGCUGUACGAUCAAGCCCGUGUGGGCCCCACCACGAAAACUUCGGACGAAAUCGCUAUCAUAUGUUUGUUCUGGCUUAUUUUGCAAGCCAAUCCUUUGUUUUGUUUUGAGUUGUGGUAUUCGAGUUGCUUCGAAGUCAAAUGUGGAUUCCAUACCUUUUCUGAACGGUGUUCUCAUAUUUCUAUGGGAGUGCUAAUCCUGCUUGAUCACGGAGGUUGUCAUGUCAAAUCUUUUCCAACCGAUGUGCUUCUCUUCAAGUGGAUCCGAUCAUUUCAACAUUCGCAAGAUCACCUCUCAGUUUCCCAACGUUGUUUGUUUCAUCUGUCCCAAGUUGCCUUUGUUUUCCCGCCCUCCCACCCUUUUUCUUCAAGGACUCUGAUUUCUUAAUCAUGUAUCCAUCUUAUGGAUGUGAAGUUUCUCCAUUGUUUUCUUUCAAUGUUAUUAUCCGGUGAUUCUCAGGAAGAUACUAACGGAGCUUCAAGUUCAUCAUUCUCUUUUCUUCUCCGGUGGAUUCAAUUAAAGUUUUCGAUGUUAAUCACAUUCCUUUCCUUGUUUCAAAUGCUUUCCCAUGCCGGUGCACCUCUUAAUUGUUCAUCUCUCUUUAUUCAUAUCCGAAGUGACGAAGAUAUCUCAGAAGAUUCGCGUUUCCAUUCUCGAUCCGUUCAAGUUAGUUCGAGGUUGUUAUCUCAUUCAAGCCACUUAAUUCAACCGGUGCAGUCUCUCUUAAAAAUCAUUCCAACGGUGUUUCUUUUGAGUGGGCCCUAACCCACAGGUCUUUUCCCAGGAUCUUACCUGACUCUUCUAAAUUUUCCCGGAGCUAUUCCCAAAUUCAUUUCAAAGUUUGAUGUAAGAAUGAAUUAUCAUCAGUCAAAUGUCUUUCUCCAAGAUUUUUCAAAUUCUUUCCAUUGUUGGUUCAACCUUUCUAAUUAUCAUCCAGGAGUAUCUCAACAAUUCAUGGCGGUGUUUCUCAUCGUCAUUCUUGGAUCUUGAAUACCGAAGAGGAGUUCCUCUUAAAUCCUUACCCGUUCUUCCAAAGAUGCGAAGUUCAAGCUUGAUGCCAUCCUCUGAUAAUUGUUUUUGAUUGUGGGAAUUCUUUUUACCCAUCCGGAGCAUUUCAUGAGUUGUUCCCAUUUCUUUCCUCCGUAGGCCAUCAUGUCAUAAUUAUUCAUUCCAGCUUUCAUCUCUCAUUCUCCAAAUCUUACCGGUGAAUCAUUCAAGUAUCCUCUAGUCAGCUCUUGAUCUCUUCGUUCUCAUGUAUCUAAAUACCCUCAAGUAUCUUCAUUCGUUUUCCAAUUCUUCCCGGUGAAUUGUGCCUUUGUUACUUUCAUUCUCAAUUAUUAUGGUGGUUCAUUCAAGAAUUCUCUUCCGUUGUUAUCGUAUCAAUUCAUUCGUUAUUUCCAAAUUAUCUUCCGUUGUUACCGGUGGUUCGUUGAAGUCCUUCUCAAGUUUGCGCUAUAUCUAUCUUAAUCCUUUCUACGAGAAUAAGUAGUAUGCCAAAUCAGUUGCUUGUCAUCAAUCUAAAUUGGUGAAGGAUACGCAUAACAUAAUUCUUAUUAUGGUUUCAUCCAAGUGAUCUAGUUUCUUCUUUCCAGAGUUGUUCAUCAUGUCAUUUUGUCGGUUCGAGAUGCUUCAUAUUUUUUUUUCCGGAGUUCCAAGUUUUCCGCAUUAUCUCGUCGCGAAGCUCCAUCUAAAUCAUCGCAAGGCUUCACCUUGUGUUUUCAACUUCUCUAUCUUUUUAUCAUCCUUUUAUUACCGGAGUUCUCACGAAGGCUCUACAUGAUAGUUCAUCAAGGAUGCCUUUCAUUCUCGAAUAGUUCUUCAAGAUUUUUCUCGAAGUUAAGAUCCGCCAAGCUAUAUUCAAAGAUAAACAUGGUGCUCAACACAUGUUUUGUCUUGAGGAGUUCAAGCAUUCUUCAUCUUGCAUUCCGAAGUGCAAUUCUUUCUACCUUAUCUUUUGAGGUGGUGUUAUUUCAUUCUUGAUAAUUUCCCUUCGUGUUUCAUGAUUCACUAGUUUUCAAGAGUGACAUAUCUAAAUCUAUCAUUUUCUCUUCGCUCAAGACAUCUUUUCAACCAAUCAACCUCUUCAUUGGAGUUAUCUUGGGUUAUAUUUCACCUAAAGCUUGCCCUAAGGAUUUUUCCUAUUUAUGGUGCUCAUAAAUGACCCAAGUUCUUCGUUUAUCCUCCCGGCGAAAUAAGUUUCUCGUCUCCUUGUUCAUAUCAAUCCAAUCUAUUGUUUUUCCGUUAGUGGCAGAAUUUCACCUCAAGUUUUUUAGAUGUUUUCCAUAACCCACAACAAGCUUGUUCUUUUCGUUGUUGAUUUUUCCAACAACUUUGUUCAAUCCUUAUUUUUAAGGAUGCUUUUCAAAUUCAAUUGUGGUAGAAGAUAUCAUUUUCUUCUCAAAUCUUUCCUUUCCAACGAUCCAACUUCUAUUCUUUCGUUCCGGAGGCAUUGUGAUGUUGCUCUCUUCACUCAUCAUCUCGGAUAGUGAGGACCAUGUUCUUUUUGUGCUUAUCCAUUCAACCGGAAUGUUGUGUCCUCUUUUCAAGUAUCCUCUCAUCUUGUCAAGAUCAUGUUCAAUUCCUUCCAUUUACAGUCGGAGUGCUGUCAAAAUUAUAUCAUGCUUAUUCCUUCCCUAUCUUGUUUUAACCGGAGUGGUUUCAAUAUCUAUGUUGUCACUUAACCUCUUGGUUCUCAUCGUAUUCCAUGUUCUUCUUAUCUAACAGAGUGUUUUCUACUUCGUUCAUCUCCAUUGUAUUCUUUUCAAAAAAAUUGUUUAACCUCUGAAGGUUCCUUGGUUUCACUCAUUCGUUGAAGAAGCAACUUUGUUUUACCUCUUCCUCUUCCGCUUUUCUCCGGCGCCAUCCUAGAUCUCGGGACGAGAUCCUCUUGUAGUGGUGGAGUGUUGUAACACCCCGAGACCGACGCUCCAAGUGCCUUCCUUGUUUUGCGAGUCAGCUGUGUUAUUUAUUUGUUUGUUGCACUCAUCUCAUAGCAUCAUGCGCAUUGCAUUUGCAUGUUUUCAUAAAGCUUGCAUCCGUUCCUAGUUGCCGUGUUCCCCUUCCUUGGUUGACGGUUCCGAGUCCCUCGGGUUUUUGCUUCCCUCUUGACCGUGACCCCCUAACCCCCUUUGCGUGGGUGUCCCACUUCCCCGAACUCGAUCCGGGCAGUCGUGACCGUUGGAUUCAGAUCAUCCCCAAACAUCAAUAAAACAUCUCCGUUUUCUUUAUUGGACUCCCUAGCCUAUUUAUUCCCCGUCCGUCGGUUUUCGAUCGGAAGGUCCAAACUCUCCCCAUUCCCUAUACAUAGUUCACCCACAUGCCUAUUUGGACAAACCCUAGACCAACUCCCUAAAAUUCCUCCUAGCCACCGCCACCCCUGUCCAUUCUCUCCUCCUUUCUCGGGAUCUCACCCGCCUACCCAUCCACCAGCCGCCACUCUCUCCAUCGGGAUCCCUCCCGAUCCACCACCUCCCCUCGUUUUCAGCCCCGAGGCAACCAGCGGCUCCUUCUUGUCCCCGUGGAGCAGCGAGUUGUGCCUGACCCCGCCUCGUCUCCGCGCCGCCGACGAGCUUCGUUCAAGAUGAGCCACGCGCCCCCUUCUUUUCCUUUCUCUCCCUUCCCCUGGUUCUUCUCUCCCCUGACCGCACUGUCUUCCUCUUCUCUGGUUCACAGGAAGGCCAUGGCCUUGGAGCUUCACCCACGUCCAUCUCCCUCAGCGCGCCCGAGAUCCAUCCUCCCGAUGCAACCAGCCACCACGUCCUCCUCCUUCGUGCGCCCCUGUGCCUGCGACCGCCGGGAUGCCAGCCUCCUCUCGCGCCCGAGGGGCUCCCCGAGCACCUCGUCCCUGCCGCCAAGUCGUUGCCCAAGGCCCCGUCCUUGCCACCCUCUGACGACCUCGUCUUCACGCGUUGCUGGAACCCCUCGAUGCUCUCUCGCACCUACAAGGCAUCGUCCCCUGAACCUGUCGGUUUUCCUCCUCUGCAACAAGCCGGAGCGCUCAUCUUGCUCAUCUGCAUCGACCCAGCGGCCCUGGCCUCAACUCGCCGCCGGAUCCGUUUCCUAUCGACGUCCAUGACGAGCUCCGCCCGGUAUCCUCACGCCCCGCCGCCCGCUGCCUCCUCUGCAUCAAGCCGGCGCGCCUGACCUCUUCGUCGCGCUGUUCCCCUUCUUCUGCGUGCAAGGAGGACGACUAGCGCCAAGUCCCACAGCGCCCGUUGACCGUGUCGUUGCCUCCAGAUCCGGCCCAGCCAGCGCCCUCUCCACCGACCUGGGCCUCAGCCCAUGGUGAGCCAGCGCUGCGCCCCUUCCACCGUUGGCCCAAGUGCAGAUUCGGCCCGUAGAUUUUUUUUCCAGUUCUGCGAAUUUAGCAUUAUCCAGUGAUUUACUGUUUUGCAGAAAAACCCUGAUGAUCAUGCAUUUAAUAACUCCACAACCGUGCAUCGGAUUAAAAUGAAUUAUAUAUGUAAAAUGCUUAGAAUUUCAUCUAGUUUCAUAAUAUGCUGCUUGCAUCCUUGUUUAAAAUGUUUAAAAUUCUGCUUGCAUUUAAUUUGCUAAAUGCCAUGUUAAAAUGAUUUAUUUCAGAACUAAUUAACCGUAGCUCGGGUUUAAAUAAACGUUAUAUGUAAAUGGGGUAGAAAAAUGCAUAGUUUAACAUGGUGGCAUUACUUUGCAUGUUUAACCACUCUAAAAUAUGCUUUAGGACAGAACAGUACCAAAUCUAAAAUAUGGACAUGAGGAUUUUCCGGAAUUGUUGUUUGUUGUUCCGGCCUCAUUUAAACUUGCCUAAAUAUAUAGUUUAUAUAUGUUUCACCCCUUGCCAUGUUUAAUAACAUUUAAUAUUGUUGGGUACAUAAAUGAGAGUGAACUAAAUAUUUGAAUGUGGUGUUUCGUCAAUAUGCAACUCGUUGCAUAUUGGGCUCCACUUAAUUUGUGGUAUUGUUUGUGCACUUUGCCAUGCCAAGCAUAUUUAAACUGGACAUGCAUCAUACUUAUUUGUGCAUCAUGCCAUGUGUAUGUGGUGGUUGUUUACUAUGUUGUUUGUUUCUUUCCGGGUUGCUUCUCUCGUUAGCUUUGGUUUCGUUCCGGAGUUGUGAGGAUUCAUUCGACUACGUCCGUUUGUCUUCUUCAUGGACUCGUUCUUCUUCCUUGCGGGAUCUCAGGCAAGAUGACCGUACCCUCGAUAUCACUUCUAUCUUUGCUUGCUAGUUGUUUGCUCUAUCGCUAUGUUCGCGCUACCUACCACCUGUUUAUCAUGCCUACCAUAUUGCCAUGUCAAGCCUCUAACCAUCCUUUCCUCGCAAACCGUUGUUUGGCUAAGUUACCGCUUUUGCUCAGCCCUUCUUAUAGCAUUGCUAGUUGCAGGUGAAGUUGAAGUUGGUUCCAUGUUGGAACAUGAUAAUUUUGGGAUAUCACAAUAUCUCUUAUUUAGUUAAUGCAUCUAUAUACUUGGUAAAGGGUGGAAGGCUCGGCCUUAUGCCUGGUGUUUUGUUCCACUCUUGCCGCCCUAGUUUCCGUCAUACCGGUGUUAUGUUCCUUGAUUUUGCGUUCCUUACGCGGUUGGGGGUUUGUGGGACCCCCUUGACAGUUCGCUUUGAAUAAAACUCUUCCAGCAAGGCCCAACCUUGGUUUUAACAUUUGCCACCUAAGCCUUCUUCCCUUGGGUUCUGCAGACUCAACGGUCAUUUUUAUUUUAACCCUCCGGGCCAGUGUUCCUCUGAGUGUUGGUCCAAACCGGGCGAUGUCCGGCGCCCCCUGGGCAACCAGGGUCUAUGCCAACCCGACGUCUUGCCCAUCCGGUGUGCCCUGAGAACGAGAUACGUGCGACUCCUAUCAGGAUUUGUCGGCACAUCGGGUGGCUUUGCUGGUCUUGUUUUACCAAUGUCGAAAAGUCUUGUAACCGGGAUUCCGAGACUGAUCGGGUCUUCCCAGGAGAAGGAAUAUCCUUUGUUGACCGUGAGAACUUGUGAUGGGCUAAGUUGGGACACCCCUGCAGGGUAUUAUCUUUCGAAAGCCGUGCCCGCGGUUAUGUGGCAGAUGGGAAUUUGUUAAUAUCCGAUUGUAGAGAACUGGACACUUGACUUAAUUAAAAUACAUCAACCACGUGUGUAGCCGUGAUGGUCUCUUUUCGGCGGGGUCCUGGAAGUGAACAUGGUUUGGGUUAUGUAUGAACGUAAGCAGUUUCAGGAUAACUUCUAGCUUCGCGACCAUUGCGUUGCUCCUCUUCUCGCUCUUACUUGCGCAUGUUAGCCACCAUAUUUGCUUAGUGCUUGCUGCAGCUCCACGUCAUUACCCCAUCCUUCCUAUAAGCUUAAAUAGUCUUGAUCUCGCGGGUGUGAGAUUGCUGAGUCCUCGUGAUUCACAGAUUCUACCAAAACAGUUGCAGGUGCCGACGAUACCAGUGCAGGUGACGUAACCGAGCUCAAGUGGGAGUUCGACGAGGAACUUGGUCGUUACUAUGUUUCGUUUCCUGAUGAUCAGUAGUGGAGCCCAGUUGGGACGAUCGGGGAUCUAGCAUUUGGGGUUGUCUUCUUUUAUUUUGGUUCCGUAGUCGGACCUUGAUUGUACUCUGAAUGAUGUAUGUUUAAUUUAUGUAUUGUGUGAAGUGGCGACUGUAAGCCAACUCUUUAU